Molecule: ribosomal RNA, 515 nt
Filed under: uncultured bacterium
Lineage: Bacteria
Description: partial 16S ribosomal RNA
Rfam family: Bacterial small subunit ribosomal RNA
Source: RNAcentral
GAUGAACGCUGGCGGCGUGCCUAAUACAUGCAAGUCGAGCGAAUGGAUAAAGAGCUUGCUCUUAUGAAGUUAGCGGCGGACGGGUGAGUAACACGUGGGUAACCUGCCCAUAAGACUGGGAUAACUCCGGGAAACCGGGGCUAAUACCGGACAACAUUUUGAACCGCAUGGUUCGAAAUUGAAAGGCGGCCUCGGCUGUCACUUAUGGAUGGACCCGCGUCGCAUUAGCUAGUUGGUGAGGUAACGGCUCACCAAGGCAACGAUGCGUAGCCGACCUGAGAGGGUGAUCGGCCACACUGGGACUGAGACACGGCCCAGACUCCUACGGGAGGCAGCAGUAGGGAAUCUUCCGCAAUGGACGAAAGUCUGACGGAGCAACGCCGCGUGAGUGAUGAAGGCUUUCGGGUCGUAAAACUCUGUUGUUAGGGAAGAACAAGUGCUAGUUGAAUAAGCUGGCACCUUGACGGUACCUAACCAGAAAGCCACGGCUAACUACGUGCCAGCCGCCGCGGUAA